UCCUGGUCUAGUAAUAGGCGUG
This 22-nucleotide non-coding RNA is filed under the name Sclerotinia sclerotiorum. The record is from RNAcentral. Lineage: Eukaryota; Fungi; Ascomycota; Leotiomycetes; Helotiales; Sclerotiniaceae.